UAUCUGGUCUUAGAGAGCACAACAAGGAGCUGAAAAAAGGGGUCUGGGACUGCGAGAGGACAGCAGCCUGCGCCCUGUCCCUGGAGAAGUUCCAGCACAGUGUGCACAACCAUGUUAGGGGAUGGCUCACAAGAGCAUGAGCUUUUUGAAGUAGACACUGUGACUUAUUCCAAGUUUCCUGGCUGUGAACAUCAGCUUCUAAUGAACACAACACGGUCUGUGGACGCAAGACCCUAGGGACGCAAAAAUGCGCCUGAGCAGUCGCAAGGAUGUACCCUGAGCGAGAAACCAUUGUGAUACGAAGUGGCACUAAGUUGCAGGGGAACCCGGGACAUGCCGGGAAGGGGCUGGCCCGCGGUGGCAGGGCUCGGGACGCGCCAGAACGUGUCGCACUGGCCUCUGGGUCAGGCUCGGCCCUGCAAGAGAGCCCUGCUUUGAGUUGAUGAUGUCUUC
Suricata suricatta (meerkat) is the source of this 453-nucleotide long non-coding RNA. RefSeq lists it as uncharacterized. The record is from RefSeq and is a predicted model, not a curated record. The transcript has 3 exons. Lineage: Eukaryota; Metazoa; Chordata; Mammalia; Carnivora; Herpestidae.